Molecule: ribosomal RNA, 161 nt
Filed under: Treponema sp.
Lineage: Bacteria; Pseudomonadati; Spirochaetota; Spirochaetia; Treponematales; Treponemataceae
Description: partial 23S ribosomal RNA
Rfam family: Bacterial large subunit ribosomal RNA
Source: RNAcentral
GCUGAAAGCAUCUAAGCGGGAAGCCGGCCUCAAGACCGCUCAUCCCCGGGGAUUCGGUCCCCCUGAAGGCCCCCCGAAGACUACGGGGUCGAUAGGCCGCAGGUGCAGGCGCGGCGACGCGCACAGCCGAGCGGUACUAACAGGCCGUGAGCCCUGGCCAU